UUGGAUGAAAUUAAUGUGGAUCCCACACUUUGAAAACGGAUCCCCACAUAAAAUGGUGGAGUCCUCAUUGAUUUCAUCCAA
This 81-nucleotide microRNA precursor is filed under the name Medicago truncatula (barrel medic). Its description in RNAcentral is "MIR5269 microRNA precursor family". It matches the Rfam family "MIR5269 microRNA precursor family". The record is from Rfam by way of RNAcentral. Lineage: Eukaryota; Viridiplantae; Streptophyta; Magnoliopsida; Fabales; Fabaceae.